UACAGAGGUCCCGAGCGUUGUUCGGAUUCACUGGGCGUAAAGGGCGCGUAGGCGGCUCUGCACGUCCGUUGUGAAAUCGCCCGGCUCAACUGGGCGGGGUCAGCGGAUACGGCGGAGCUUGAGCAAGCUAGGGGGCAAUGGAAUUCCCGGUGUAGUGGUGGAAUGCGUAGAUAUCGGGAGGAACAUCAGUGGCGAAAGCGGCUUCCUGGUCCAGCACCGACGUUCAGGCACGAAAGCGUGGGGAGCAAACAGG
This 253-nucleotide ribosomal RNA is filed under the name uncultured bacterium. RNAcentral's name for it is "partial 16S ribosomal RNA". It matches the Rfam family "Bacterial small subunit ribosomal RNA", at positions 524 to 776 of the family's 1533-position model. The record is from RNAcentral.